Molecule: RNA transcript, 902 nt
Organism: Peromyscus eremicus (cactus mouse)
Lineage: Eukaryota; Metazoa; Chordata; Mammalia; Rodentia; Cricetidae
Gene name: P2R1A-PPP2R2A-interacting phosphatase regulator 1-like
Exons: 10
Source: RefSeq, a predicted model, not a curated record
UCUUUUUCAGAAGAGACUACUGGCAGGUAGGCAGCAGACUGGGACAUACAGAGCAAGAGAUAGUAUAAGUUUUAAGCUAAAGGUUCAAGCAUACCAUUGAUCUGAGAUCAUGGCCUACUGUGGAAGAGAAAACACUGAUGAUUCUCUGCAUCAAGACAGCAGCAUGUCCUCAAAUCAACAAGGGCCAGAUACCCUUCAAAAUUUCCAACUGAGUAGCAGCUUUGUCCUCAACACCAAACUGGCCAAGGAGAAAAGGGAAAUGGAGUUAGGCCUGCCAGCAGCUUCCACCACUGUAGAUGCCAGCUUCCUUAGAAGAUCCAGCAGCAUCCCUUUGAUCAAUGGAUUUGGUGAUAAUUCACAGGGAUUUCAAGCUGACACCGUGAGAAUGAGAAGGAACAGCUCACCAUUUCUGAACCGCCAUGCUUUGUUUCUGCCUUCCCGCACUCGUACAUCUGCCAACCGGAUUUUCCAAAUCAAACAAGAAGAAGGGAUGGAUUUAGCAAGCAGAGAAGCAAUGCAUGAACGGAAAAUGCAUACUGCUAUGCAGAAUGGCAACACCACUGUGAAGCAACUAACUAUAAGGAACAUCCAACUGAUUCCAGUCACCCCAACGGCUUCUCUUACCAAGAAACCUAGGAAGGACUAUCAGAACUUUUAGACCAAGGAUCCUGCAAACAUCAAAAAGAAAAGGUAAAGUGGAGCUUGAAAAUCAGCCAAGUUAAAUUUGCACGUGUUACCAUCUUUUAACCUCCCUAAUCUUCUUAACUGUCAACAAAAUGUUUGGGAGAAGAGUUGUCUUAAUCAGAUACAGAACCUUCCCAGUCUGUUCAUGUCUCCAGCAACGAAUAGCUCCAAUGGAAACAACCGAUCCGUAGCUUACAAUAAAAGAAGGGUUGCAUGCA